RNAcentral lists this ribosomal RNA (253 nucleotides) under uncultured bacterium. RNAcentral's name for it is "partial 16S ribosomal RNA". It matches the Rfam family "Bacterial small subunit ribosomal RNA", at positions 524 to 776 of the family's 1533-position model. The record is from RNAcentral.
AACGUAGGUGGCGAGCGUUAUCCGGAUUUACUGGGCGUAAAGGGUGUGCAGGCGGGGUAUCAAGUGGUGUCUGAAAGGGCGCGGCUCAACCGCGCUAGGGUAUGCCAGACUGAUGCACUAGAGGACCAAACAGGGCUGUGGAAUUCCGGGUGUAGUGGUGAAAUGCGUAGAGAUCCGGAGGAACCCCAGAGGCGAAGGCGGCAGCCUGGUUGGUAUCUGACGCGCGGACACGAAAGCAUGGGGAGCGAACGGG